UCCACUCCCUCCAAAUCUUCCUCUUCUUCCUCAUUUCCUUCUCGUACCUGGUUUGUCCCUCCUCUCUCUAUUUCCUCUGCUGCCAGUCAGUCUCAUCUUUCCUCUCCUUCCUCCUCUUCCCUCAACUCUAAUUCUAAUCAAGCUGGUAGCCACAGUACCACUCCCAGGUCUGCCCCUGCUUUCAAUCCUGAGCAAUCUGCUCCCUCUGAUCAGUCAUCCCCCACUUCUAGUUCACAGUCAGUUUCUCUUGUUCCCCAACCCAUCACUGCCAUCCCUAUCUCCUCUUCUUCUGACUCUCCUGCCCUUAUUCUUUCUGAUCCAGCUGAAGCCAGUACCAUCUCACCUUCUUCCUCUCAACAUCGCUCCUCUUCAGCUGGUCCUAGCCCUAGUCCCAACCCUCCC
RNAcentral lists this long non-coding RNA (402 nucleotides) under Lathyrus oleraceus (garden pea). RNAcentral describes it as "Pisum sativum (pea) long non-coding RNA (PSAT_LNC010431)". The record is from RNAcentral. Lineage: Eukaryota; Viridiplantae; Streptophyta; Magnoliopsida; Fabales; Fabaceae.